AUGGAUGAUGGCAGCGGCGGCCGCCAGCCGCGCCGUGCCGUGCGUGUGAUUCAAUUCAACUCGCCGUCGAAACGGACGCUUUGGUUCGCCGCCCACCGGAAGCCUCGGCGCCGGAACGGGACAAGCGGAGAGGUCCACCUCCUAGUCGGCUACACGGAAGAUAGUACAAAAAGAAAGAAAGAAAGAAUCGGGAUCCGGAUCCGGGGCCUCCAGAAGACCACAGAGGUAGCCCAGGGUUCCAGUACUGCUACUGUUUAUUAUCCUCCUGCUGCUGCUGCCGCUGCCGAUAGGGGAGGAUAA
RNAcentral lists this ribosomal RNA (300 nucleotides) under Triticum aestivum (bread wheat). RNAcentral describes it as "partial small subunit ribosomal RNA". Lineage: Eukaryota; Viridiplantae; Streptophyta; Magnoliopsida; Poales; Poaceae. The record is from RNAcentral.